Molecule: ribosomal RNA, 403 nt
Filed under: uncultured bacterium
Lineage: Bacteria
Description: bacterial SSU rRNA
Rfam family: Bacterial small subunit ribosomal RNA
Source: RNAcentral
UGGGGAAUAUUGGACAAUGGGCGCAAGCCUGAUCCAGCCAUGCCGCGUGAGUGACGAAGGCCUUAGGGUUGUAAAGCUCUUUUGGCGGGGAAGAUAAUGACGGUACCCGCAGAAUAAGCUCCGGCUAACUUCGUGCCAGCAGCCGCGGUAAUACGAAGGGAGCUAGCGUUGUUCGGAAUCACUGGGCGUAAAGCGCACGUAGGCGGAUGUGUCAGUCAGGGGUGAAAUCCCGGAGCUCAACUUCGGAACUGCCUUUGAUACAGCACGUCUUGAGUCCGAUAGAGGUGGGUGGAAUUCCUAGUGUAGAGGUGAAAUUCGUAGAUAUUAGGAAGAACACCGGUGGCGAAGGCGGCCCACUGGAUCGGUACUGACGCUGAGGUGCGAAAGCGUGGGGAGCAAACAG